AGAAGUCUUAUUGGCAUUCAGAUUGUUAGCUUCGGCCCGAAGCUGGAGGAUAGUCUGAUCAGCUGUUUGCAGAGAGAUUUCAAGAGAUUCAGCAAGGGACUUCUAAAUCGUCACUUCAGUAUCAGCACUUAACUUCUCAGCUCGAGCAAUAGUAUGCUCACUCUGCAUCGUCCUAUUCUUCUUCUCUAGAUCCUUAAUCUGGGAAUCCUUAGCAGAGAUAUCCCGUGCAAGAGUCUGGUUCUGAGUAUGAAGGUAGGCAUUGGCCUCAGCAUAGUUCUUAACCUUCGCCUCAGCAGACUUCAGACUCCCUCUUAGAAGGGUAAGCUCAUCAAGAAUCUGAUGAUGAUUUUGAAGCUUUAUGAGAGGAGUAAACUCUCCUUUAUACAGAUGAUCGAGUUGUAAGAAAAAGGAGUUAGAAAAAUAAAAAAAGGAAAGAAAAAUCAAUAAGAACUUACAUUUGCCAGAUUCUGAGCUAGCAACUCAACCAAUUUAUCCAUGUUAUACAUGGAAAUCCUCUUCAAAGCAGCUUGGCUGGCAGCAGUAUCAGGAACAAUCGGAGUCCUACUCCCAUGGUUCACAGGAUGAUAACCCUCGUAGCCCGGCAGUUGGUUGUCAUAAGUAGAUUAAUAUGAGGGCUUCUGAACCUCUUUCACAGGAGGUCGGAAAGAAGAACCCGCCUCAAAAUUACGCGCCUUCUUCUGAGGGAGGUGAUCAGUUGUAACAGGAGGAGCCCUCUUCCUACAAUCUUCAGCUCUUUGAACCGGGACCUGAACUUCCGGACUACGCAGAAUCUCUCCAGGCUCAGUAUUAGAGGCCUUAGAAGCAGCCAUCUUUCUCAGUCUCCUCACAUCAGAAGGUUUGGCAGAGGAAGGGUAGACUUUAGAGCCCAGCUUCUGUUGGCUGAACCGUUCAUUCGAGCCACCAAAUGAUUUAAGAUAUUCUGCGUAGAAAACA
RNAcentral lists this long non-coding RNA (954 nucleotides) under Zostera marina. RNAcentral's name for it is "long non-coding RNA (ZMAR_LNC004652)". Lineage: Eukaryota; Viridiplantae; Streptophyta; Magnoliopsida; Alismatales; Zosteraceae. The record is from RNAcentral.